This 629-nucleotide ribosomal RNA is filed under the name Bacillus cereus. RNAcentral describes it as "bacterial SSU rRNA". It matches the Rfam family "Bacterial small subunit ribosomal RNA", at positions 66 to 675 of the family's 1533-position model. Lineage: Bacteria; Bacillati; Bacillota; Bacilli; Caryophanales; Bacillaceae. The record is from RNAcentral.
GCGAAUGGAUUAAGAGCUUGCUCUUAUGAAGUUAGCGGCGGACGGGUGAGUAACACGUGGGUAACCUGCCCAUAAGACUGGGAUAACUCCGGGAAACCGGGGCUAAUACCGGAUAACAUUUUGAACCGCAUGGUUCGAAAUUGAAAGGCGGCUUCGGCUGUCACUUAUGGAUGGACCCGCGUCGCAUUAGCUAGUUGGUGAGGUAACGGCUCACCAAGGCAACGAUGCGUAGCCGACCUGAGAGGGUGAUCGGCCACACUGGGACUGAGACACGGCCCAGACUCCUACGGGAGGCAGCAGUAGGGAAUCUUCCGCAAUGGACGAAAGUCUGACGGAGCAACGCCGCGUGAGUGAUGAAGGCUUUCGGGUCGUAAAACUCUGUUGUUAGGGAAGAACAAGUGCUAGUUGAAUAAGCUGGCACCUUGACGGUACCUAACCAGAAAGCCACGGCUAACUACGUGCCAGCAGCCGCGGUAAUACGUAGGUGGCAAGCGUUAUCCGGAAUUAUUGGGCGUAAAGCGCGCGCACGUGGUUUCUUAAGUCUGAUGUGAAAGCCCACGGCUCAACCGUGGAGGGUCAUUGGAAACUGGGAGACUUGAGUGCAGAAGAGGAAAGUGGAAUUCCAUGUG